This 942-nucleotide ribosomal RNA is filed under the name uncultured archaeon. RNAcentral's name for it is "bacterial SSU rRNA". It matches the Rfam family "Archaeal small subunit ribosomal RNA", at positions 1 to 922 of the family's 1478-position model. The record is from RNAcentral.
UUCCGGUUGAUCCUGCCGGACCUUACUGCUAUCGGGGUGGGACUAAGACAUGCGAGUCGAGCGUCUCUAGCUAUGUUGAGACGCGGCAGACGGCUCAGUAACACGUGGCUAACCUACCUUCAGGACGAGGAUAAACCCGGGAAACUGGGGCUAAUACUCGAUAGGUGAGGAUGUCUGGAAUGACUUCUCAUCCAAAGGGCAUUGGAAACAUGCUUUCAAUGUCGCCUGGGGAUGGGGCCGCGUCCGAUCAGGUUGUUGGUGAGGUAACGGCUCACCAAGCCUAUAACCGGUACGGGCCGUGAGAGCGGUAGCCCGGAGAUGGGUACUGAGACAAGGACCCAGGCCCCACGGGGCGCAGCAGUCGCGAAAACUCCGCAAUGCACGAAAGUGUGACGGGGCUACCCCGAGUGCCAUCCGCUGAGGGUGGCUUUUCUUUGGUAUAACUAGCCAUGGGAAUAAGGAGAGGGCAAGACUGGUGUCAGCCGCCGCGGUAAUACCAGCUCUCCGAGUGGUAGGGAUGAUUAUUGGGCUUAAAGCGUCCGUAGCCGGCUUAGCAAGUCUCCUGUUAAAUUCAGCGACCUAAUCGUUGACCCGCGGGAGAUACUACUAGGCUAGGAGGCGGGAGAGGUCGACGGUACUUCUGGGGUAGGGGUGAAAUCCUAUAAUCCCGGGAGGACCACCAGUGGCGAAGGCUGUCGACUAGAACGCGCUCGACGGUGAGGGACGAAAGCUGGGGGAGCGAACCGGAUUAGGUACCCGGGUAGUCCCAGCCGUAAACGAUGCGAGCUAGGUGUUGGAAUGGCUACGUGCCAUUUCAGUGCCGCAGGGAAGCCAUUAAGCUCGCCGCCUGGGGAGUACGGCCGCAAGGCUGAAACUUAAAGGAAUUGGCGGGGGAGCACCACAAGGCGUGAAGCUUGCGGUUCAAUUGGAUUCAACGCCGGA